UACGUAGGGUGCGAGCGUUAAUCGGAAUUACUGGGCGUAAAGCGUGCGCAGGCGGUUUUGUAAGACAGGUGUGAAAUCCCCGGGCUCAACCUGGGAAUUGCAUUUGUGACUGCAAGGCUGGAGUGCGGCAGAGGGGGAUGGAAUUCCGCGUGUAGCAGUGAAAUGCGUAGAUAUGCGGAGGAACACCGAUGGCGAAGGCAAUCCCCUGGGCCUGCACUGACGCUCAUGCACGAAAGCGUGGGGAGCAAACAGG
RNAcentral lists this ribosomal RNA (253 nucleotides) under uncultured bacterium. RNAcentral's name for it is "partial 16S ribosomal RNA". It matches the Rfam family "Bacterial small subunit ribosomal RNA", at positions 524 to 776 of the family's 1533-position model. The record is from RNAcentral.